Molecule: ribosomal RNA, 253 nt
Filed under: uncultured bacterium
Lineage: Bacteria
Description: partial 16S ribosomal RNA
Rfam family: Bacterial small subunit ribosomal RNA
Source: RNAcentral
UACGUAGGGUGCAAGCGUUGCCCGGAUUUAUUGGGCGUAAAGGGCGCGUAGGCGGCUCUGCACGUUCGUUGUGAAAUCGCCCGGCUCAACUGGGCGGGGUCAGCGGAUACGGCAGAGCUUGAGCAAGCUAGGGGGCAAUGGAAUUCCCGGUGUAGUGGUGGAAUGCGUAGAUAUCGGGAGGAACAUCAGUUGCGAAGGCGGCUCUCUGGACCAGCACUGACACUGAGGCACGAAAGCGUGGGGAGCAAACAGG